UGCCAGCAGCCGCGGUAAUACGGAGGGUGCAAGCGUUAAUCGGAAUUACUGGGCGUAAAGCGCGCGUAGGUUGAUUGGUCAGUCAGAUGUGAAAGCCCCGGGCUCAACCCUGGACGUGCAUUUGAAACAGCAAGACUUGAAUACUGGAGAGGAAAGCGGAAUUCCUGGUGUAGAGGUGAAAUUCGUAGAUAUCAGGAGGAACACCGGUGGCGAAGGCGGCCAUCUGGUCGGGUACUGACGCUGAGAUGCGAAAGUGUGGGGAGCAAACAGGAUUAGAUA
This 279-nucleotide ribosomal RNA is filed under the name uncultured bacterium. RNAcentral describes it as "partial 16S ribosomal RNA". It matches the Rfam family "Bacterial small subunit ribosomal RNA", at positions 506 to 784 of the family's 1533-position model. The record is from RNAcentral.